Molecule: long non-coding RNA, 449 nt
Filed under: Ananas comosus (pineapple)
Lineage: Eukaryota; Viridiplantae; Streptophyta; Magnoliopsida; Poales; Bromeliaceae
Description: long non-coding RNA (ACOM_LNC021764)
Source: RNAcentral
AAUUAAUGGUGUAGGUGUUAGAUGUGACUCGAAAUCUACUAUCGAUUCAGGUUCGGAUUUACGACUCACCGACAGUUUCGCGGUGCGACCAAUUUGGAAAAAAAAAUUAUUGAGGAAAAAUGAAUGUCUGUGGUGGGUAGCGGAGGGCUCGGGCCGACAGGCCCGAGCCCGUAGAGGCGUGUGAUCGUUUUUGCCCUAGAAGCGUGUGAUCGUGGUCGGUUGUAAUCUGAAGAAUAUUGUAUUCCCUUUUUCGUUUCAUAGUGAAGAUCUCUCCUUCCUCGCCCGUGGUUUUUUUUCCUGCAAAGAGUUUUCCACGUAAAUCUGUGUCUCUUUAUUUUCUGCUUGUGGUUUGAUUGUUUUUUGUGUUCGUCAUUUUGUUUCCGUUUGUGUGUUUGUCGUACCAGUAGGUUUUGAUUUGAAUGCGACGUAUUUAUUAUUGUAAACUAGCA